This is a non-coding RNA of Phalacrocorax carbo (great cormorant), 6184 nucleotides long. Lineage: Eukaryota; Metazoa; Chordata; Aves; Suliformes; Phalacrocoracidae. The record is from RefSeq and is a predicted model, not a curated record.
UAGACACAUAUUACUCCUGGUGUCAUCUUUAAUGUAAAAGGGAAAAUUUAACUGCCAGGGACAAAAAAAUAAGAGCUUUUCAAUUAUGGUCACCUAAACCAAAAAGAAAUUUCACUUGAGUAAGCCUUACUGCAGCAGAGCUAAGCGAAACUACAAGUUAAUGCGCAUGUUUUAAUGCACCAGCUUCCCCAUUAAAGGGUGCUAGUAACCCAAGAGCACAACAGGGGUCCCACCUCCCUCCCCAGUGCUGACUGCCCUUCCUGGGGGCCAUACAGGGCUGUGUGUUUGCCUUUCUUUGCAGCAUUACAGAAGUCAACCUCCCUGAUGCAGCCAUGAGCAGAGACAUCAGCCAUCGAGCAGGGGCAAUGGGGAGCCGUGUUCACACCAGCCUGUUGGCACAGCAAGACACAGCAGAAAUGGACCUGGAUCUUACGCCAAGGGGGAAAAGACGCCAGCAACUUCCCAGGCCUGUGCAAGAGUCCCACUGGGUGCCACAGUGGAUUUAUGCCAUUCAGCCACUGUGUACAGCAUUAGAGGCAUUACCAGCCCAUCUGGCGUUCAGUUUGUUACCAUUUUGCUUCACAAACACCUUGAAUAUUGGGGAGCACUGCUGCACUGUCCAUCCUGGGUGCUGACACAGUUCUCACAGCUGUGAUGGGCCAGGAGGGGCUUGGGAGAGCAGGGCCCGAAGUGCAGAAGCCUGCCUCGCACCCAAACUGGCCCCAGCCUCAGAUCUGCAAACUCCCUCUCCAGUUUAUGUGAAGGACAAGCGGGAGAAGGAAAGUGACCCCAGCUGCUCAUAGUGCCCAUUUCUCUGGCAGGCUCCAAAUGCAGGAUCAGCUCUUCAGAGACAAGGCCAAACCAUGGACACCUGCAUAUGCUUUGAUUCUCUCCUUUCCAGGCAAAAAGGCCACCAACAAAGAAAAGCCAUGGGCUGCUUCUGGGUUUACUUCAGUUUCAAGGCCACCAAGCUUCAGAUGUUUGUCCUGCAUUGUGAGCUGGCCUCUCCCAAGAAGCAGCCUCCAGAAAAGGUGACCUAUCACUCAUCUUUGGACACAGACUAAUAAGAUGGCAUCUCAGUUCCCCAAAUUUUGGAUGUGUAUGAAGUCAUCUUGGGAUGUCAUGUCACAAAGCCUAACCACCAACACAGCUUCUCUCACCCGUUCACCAUCUGUCUGGCUGCACUACCUGAAUACGGCCAGUGCAAAGAGAGACAGUACUGGAUCUGGGCAGAUCCACUGUCAUCAACAUGGGCACAUACAGGACAGCCAUCACAGACCUACUCUCUGUAUUAGGGGCCAAGUCCUGCCAGGGCACACACUCCCUCCACUGACAGCUCACAAGGGUCUAACUCAAAGCCCAAACACAAACAUUGGGAAGAUCAAAAACUUCUCAGUAACAAUAGUCCUUCACAUUCCCAGAACUUCUUCUGAAAGGACUUAACAGCAAAGCCUGCUCCUCACCAGGGCUUCCUUUCUUUCUUUCUGACAUUAAAAUAUGAUGCCUAUUUGUAUUACUGCUAACUGUGUCAACAACAUACAGACAGUGGUUCAGCACUGGAACAAGCUUUCCAGAGAGGCUGAGGAAGCUCCAUCCUUGGACAUUUUCAAAACCCAGCUGGACAAAGCCCCGAGCAACCCAACCUAUUUGUGAAAUAAACCCUGCUGAAAGCCAUCUCAAACUCAAAUGGCACACUCCAGAGGUCCCACCCUACUAUAUUCUUCUAUUUUUUUUAUUUUUAUAAUGAAUGUUGUAAAAUUACAAGCCCACAAUUACAAUCUCCAUAGAAAAAAGGAUGCCGAGACCUCAUGUUUGACCAUGGGAAACCAUUCUGAGAACUCCCUCCUUCUUGAAAUGUCAUCAAGUGAGCUCUACAGGAAGGUAAGGCAAUGCACUUUGAGCAACAGUAAUUAAGACCAAACUGCCUGAGUUUUCACUCGACUUCCCAGGUGGUUUUUGCAGCCUGCAGUGAGCCUUAUGUUGCCAUGGCUACUCUUACAAGCAUUUCACCCCUCCUUUAAAAUUAAUCACAUCACAGCUGCAGUACAGACAUGCCCUAUCAGGUAACUCAGCCACAGAUUCAUUUUCUCCUCUACCAGCUCUGCAAAUCCAAGAUUUGGUUUAAAGCAAGUUCAUAAUUUUUAAGACAGAUGCAAGUUUAAGUAUUACUUAGAGCAUUUGUUUCGCUACUCUUAAUCUCUUUGCUAGCAUUAAAAUGACGGAUCUCUCUCACUGUAUCUUCCAAAUUUCAGAGUGUUAAGUCACAUCUCUUUCACAUCACAGUCUGACAUCAUUUGUUUGCAAGGGGCAACCAAAUCAGCCACUGGGGACCAAGUGCCUGGAGAACUGCACUGUUGCACAUCCCCAGUGAAACAGGAACAGUGCCUGCCUCUCCAGACUAGAGGUCUGUGGCAGAGCAACCACUGCAAGGGGCAUGAUCCGCAAAGUCCCUCAGGUCAACAUGUUUUGUGUUCAAGAGUAAAAAAUAGUCUCUGCAGUGUUAACAGCUGCUUUUCCAGUCUUUCCUCCAGCCUUUAAUAUCUCACAUUUUUCCUAAGCUCCAACUCUGACCAAUACAUAGAAAUCUUCAUUUAGUUCAUGCAUAAUGAUUGCUCCAGUUGCAGAGAAGAGCUUGAUUAGUAGAAGGAAGCCUGGUUCCCUAAAAACUUGUAUUUUAGUGCUGACAGACACUUUUACAAGCUCACGUCCACGUAGAGAAGAACACCCAACUUUAUGUCAUAACAUUUCCCUAAAGUGAGGCUCUUAGCAGCCCCUUUCUCCUCUCCCUGGCUACCUCCAUGAAACUUGUAGGGUUCUGGUUAUUUUGGAAACACCCUCGCUGCCACCAGCCAGUGAAGCAUGGCUGGAAACCCCUCAACGGGUUCAAAACAUAUCGCUGAGGAGAGGGACACAGAUGUAUUUGAACAGCCAACACUAAUUUUUAUUUCCAUAGCAAAGCAUUAUGAAAAUCUGCCAAGCUCAGCCUCUUCAGGUCAUCAAAUUUAAAUACACAGCAAUGCCAUGUUAGCCCGGAUAAACUCAUUGUUUAUACACAUGGGCAUGGUCACAAAAUUCUUUGGGUAAUGAGUUUUUAGAUAUUCAAGAUUUCCAUGUUUGCAGAUCCAUGAGCAGCACAGAAAAAAACCACCCUGAAAUCCACAUUGAGAACACUGCUCAAAGCUUCAACUUCUCUGCAAACUUCUAACUUACUUGAAUACUCUACACUCUUAAAAUUGCAUGGUUUGUUGCUACAGGUGUGUUAGGAAGACAUUGGCUGUUUUAAUCUCUGGGCGCUUAAUCUCAUAGUCAACUAUGCAGUCAAUGUAGGACACCUAUCUUCUCAGUACUUCAGUUUAAGCUGCCUAAAUAAAGCAGCAGAGCUUUUACACCAACAUGGCAAUAUUUCAAGCACAGCAGCCCAUAGACUAUGGGCACAUUAUCCACAGAUAACAGAUGUUAUCCAGAAAUAUAUCAUGUGGUGCUUUGAGUGUCAAGUGGUUAUCUGUACAGACGCACCCAGAAAACUGAACCGCUCCUCUAACAGGCUCGGGCCUGUUCUUCCUCUGCCCAUUCUUCCUCAGCCUCCCUUAAUGGUGGUGCAGAGAGCUGCACUCCACAGGCCUGACAGAGAACGUGCCAGCCAACGCAUAAUGCUCCUCUCCCCUGCCAUUUUGAGAAAGCAUCAGUGAAGUGGACUAGCAUUUUAAUAGGUGAAUAAUAUGCGAAGUAUAAAUGAGACAUUUUUAAAAUCUCUCCCAAGAGUCUCCCACCCUUGAGUGUCCUCUCUCCCCUUCAGCCAGCAGAGAUGGCAGGGCCCACCAGCGAGCAGUGCUCUUCGUCUGCUCUGCCUCACCUUUCAGGGCUGGAGAACUGAUGCAGGAACACUCAUGGCCAACCUGGAUACUCAUCUUUCCCUAUUUAUCUCCUUCGAAAGUCAAUCUUUCUUUAAAAUAAUAUUCUAAUAGGCAGUCACCAGGCAGUCUUUUGUAGUGCUACUCUGAAGAAAAACAUAAACCAAACACUAACUUGACAGGAGCAGGGCUUAAAGCUCAUGUUUGACCGGUUUAGCAUUUACACUGCAGUACUUCCCAGAGCUCUUACCCAUCCCCACGGCCAGCGGCACUGGGCUCCCCACCAACACAGAAACGACCUGCCCCUGCUGUGCUCAAAUCUCCCCUCUGGUGCGUACAAAUUCGGAAUCUCCAGGUUAUUCUGCCUAAAAUAACAGACAAAGCUUUGACUCCAAAAAUACAAUGAUGGGAAAUGCUAGUAAAAUCCAAGUGAAGAUAGACAUUAUUAGAGAUCAUGUGCUAAACUUGCUUCAAACACCUGAAACCCAGAAGGCAAAGAGCAAUUACAGUCAAUAAGCAAAUAAAAUAAACCGGCAGUGAAAUUACACAGCUCAUUAGAACUGCUUUAAUAUACAUAAAAGUCUAGCAUAGGCGUCCCCUCUCUCAAUCUGUGUAAAGAAAAAAUGUUAAACUAUUGCAGUACAAAAUACAACAGUAGCAAAACCUGUAUGAUCUGAAUUAUUUUGCUCUUAACUCAAAGCGCAUUAACAAAAUCAAAACAUUCAUGACAAGUUGAGGUGUGCCAACACAUCACUCAAUCUACAAGGCAGGGUUAGGAAUGUGUUAAGACCACCGACUUAAAUUACCUUAAAUUCUAAUAAAAAUGACAACAAUUAAUCAGACUAAGUACACAUUAGUAUUUUGGGUUCCUUUGGUGGCCAGAGGCUGAAACUUAAAAGGGCAAAUCUGGCAACAGGGGAAAAAGAAAGGAAAAGGCAUUUGUUUCACACAUUUUGUAGCUUGGAAUAGGUCAAUUAAAAACCACAAAAAAUUAGAGCAGUGGAUUCUUAUGCAUUUAUCCUACAUAUUAAGUGAUGACAAGCAUGCACAGAAUGAUAAAUCUGUUAUGUGCUAAGUUUGCUGAUUGGUGAAAAAGGACAGUUCUUUUAGGGUCUCAUGUUGUGGGGAGACUUUCACCAAACUCACUGAGGCAGUAAAGACUGACCAAAGAAUAAAAUGUGUCUUAUGCUCUUAUAAUUUUGGUGGACUUCAGUUUUGCACUACAGGUUAAACACUCGAUUGCUGCAGUAUCUCUUGUAAAGCAUUCAUACCUGAUAUCAGAACGAGCCUAUGCGUGGCGACAUAGAUUGGUAGAUGCAUAUGAGCCCCCAUGACUAUUUCUUAUAAAGCUGCCUGUAAUUUCAGGAGACUGCUACUGUGAUGGUCCCUCACACAUCUUUGCUGCCUGAGCACCAGCCUUCACCUAUCUGAGCAACGCUUUUAAAAAAAAAAAAAAACAAAAACCUACAACUUUUUCUUUCAUUUUUGGGUAUGGAAGGGGCAUGCUGGAUUUCCUAGGUUGUUUCUGAGGUUGGUGGUGUUCUUGCAUCAGACACGCUGCAAGGGAGCCAGCCCCAGGCCUGCAGGGUGCCACAUAAAUCCCAGAGGAACAAAGACUCAUCACUUCCUCAGAUGAAUUCCUUAGAGAGUACAAACUAAAUUUAGCCCAGAAGGUGACCAAAAUACAUCCUGUCCAGCAAGCUAAUAAGGGUGCUCCAAUCCAGGAGAAGCAAAAGAUCAUGGAUGGAAUUACAGAAAAAACCUGGUUAAUCUCUCAAUACGCAAAGUUGAUUCCCUGCUGAACAGGUGAUCUCUGAUCUUAAUCACCUCAGCUCUGUCUGAGAAUAUUCUAAGGGAAUUGCAACAGCCUAACCAACAUAUUUAAGAAAAAAUCAAUAAAAAUUUAAAAAUUAGUCUUUCUGGUUACUUCCUGCAGAGCAGAUUUAUAUUAAAAAAAAAUAAACAACAAACAACCAAACCUAAAAUAUUUACCAAAGUCAGCUUUCUUCAAGCAUCAACAAAUUAAAGAGUUAAAAAAACCUGAAACAACAAAGCCAAAAAACCACAGUAAGGUACUUGCAUUAGGUCUCAUCCAUAUCUAAUCAGAGAGGUUUGAAUGAGCUUUCUUUUCACAAAUAGAUGAUGUCAUUCAUUUUCUCCUGAACCUUGAGGUUGUUGGAGAAGAGGAUCUGACCUAAUACCAGUUAAUUCCUGCUGUGUGUAGAAUUGUAAUCUCUCCUGCAAACUAGAUCUGACCUGGAUUCAAGUCAAGAAUUUUAAGAGUGAAGAAAAUAGGGGAUUAAAAAUAAGACUUACAAAAAAGAUGUACAUGC